Molecule: long non-coding RNA, 723 nt
Organism: Paramisgurnus dabryanus
Lineage: Eukaryota; Metazoa; Chordata; Actinopteri; Cypriniformes; Cobitidae
Source: RefSeq, a predicted model, not a curated record
CUUGAUGUAACCUUGCUGUAGCCAUUGCUGUAAUGUGCCAGGUGUACUUGCAAUAAUCAGAGAAAGUGCGCCAGAGUCAAAUCACACAGAGGGAGAGAGAGCACAACUCCUGGCUGCAGCUGAAGGAGGACGAUUGAUUUCUGGCAGUUCGUCUUACCAUUGCUUGUAAGCUGGAUUGGGUAAGAUGGAUCAUCUUUAAAGGCACCAGGAGUUAAGGCAGAUGUGGAGGCACAACGGGUGAUACCAGACACACACCAAGCACAUUAUGUUCGGACAUUCAAUCAUGACAGGAUCCAGGUGGAUGCUGUCCAUUGAUGAAAGAGUUUGUUCAGCGGUUUCUGGAUAGAAUUAAUUCCAAAGAUGGGAAAAAGUGCACAUCCAGACAAGGAGCAAGCAAAAAGACAAGGAACUUGGUGCAGAGAAAAGCUGUGGCCAUUAACCCCCAUGUGAACAGCUUCAUGCAGUCCCUGAUUGAGUUCGAAUGGACGACUUCAAAGUAAAGGCCACUGUGGUCUGUCUGCCACAGUUUAAUGCAUUUAUUUUUAGUGUUAAAUGAAAUUUAAGUAGAAUAUUUAAAACUAUGGGCCAGUGUUCUUUUUACCACAGUGAAAUGUUACCUUUUAGUCGAUGAUGGACUUUAAACUGAAAACUUCAAACUAUGGAACAGUGUUCUAUUUGCCAGAGUUAAAUAUGUUACAGCAGGGGUCUCCAAACUUGUUUAUA